Molecule: unclassified non-coding RNA, 247 nt
Filed under: Hevea brasiliensis (rubber tree)
Lineage: Eukaryota; Viridiplantae; Streptophyta; Magnoliopsida; Malpighiales; Euphorbiaceae
Source: RNAcentral
GUUGUUGCUGUUGCUGCUGCUGUGUGUUUCCAUCUACACUAAACAGCGACACGAUUGGGAAAGUGGAUUCAGUUCAAUUACGACAACCACGGUGAUGGCUUCAAAGUGAUGAACGACGACGACGGCGACGCCAAGGCAGAAAGCGAGGGUUAGAACGGCUAUGGUGAACAGCAGUGAAGGAGAACGGCGGCGGUGGCUUCAAAGUGGCCGCACACAUGACUCGGGUCUUUAAAACGAGGUAGUAUCG